UGGCGGCGUGCCUAAUACAUGCAAGUCGAACGGUCUUUCUAUGGAAGCUUGCUUCCACUGAGAAGAUAGUGGCGAACGGGUGAGUAACACGUGGGUAACCUGCCCAUAAGAGGGGGGAUAACAUCCGGAAACGGGUGCUAAUACCGCAUAGUUUUCUUGAUCGCAUGAUCGGGAAAGGAAAGACGGCCUUUGUGCUGUCGCUUAUGGAUGGACCCGCGGCGUAUUAGUUAGUUGGUGAGGUAACGGCUCACCAAGACGAUGAUACGUAGCCGACCUGAGAGGGUGAUCGGCCACAUUGGGACUGAGACACGGCCCAAACUCCUACGGGAGGCAGCAGUAGGGAAUCUUCCGCAAUGGACGAAAGUCUGACGGAGCAACGCCGCGUGAGUGAAGAAAAGGUUUUCGGAUCGUAAAACUCUGUUGUCAGAGAAGAACAAGUUGGAGAGUAACUGCUCCAGCCUUGACGGUAUCUGACCAGAAAGCCACGGCUAACUACGUGCCAGCCGCUGC
RNAcentral lists this ribosomal RNA (510 nucleotides) under uncultured bacterium. Its description in RNAcentral is "bacterial SSU rRNA". It matches the Rfam family "Bacterial small subunit ribosomal RNA", at positions 37 to 518 of the family's 1533-position model. The record is from RNAcentral.